GGUAGAAUAGCUCAGUUGGUUAGAGCAUCAGAGAGUAACUCUGAGGUCGCCAGUUCGAUUCCGGCUUCACCA
Non-coding RNA from Mycena vulgaris, 72 nucleotides. NCBI's taxonomy places the organism in Eukaryota, Fungi, Basidiomycota, Agaricomycetes, Agaricales, Mycenaceae. The record is from the annotation of a GenBank genome assembly.